RNAcentral lists this ribosomal RNA (241 nucleotides) under Klebsiella pneumoniae subsp. pneumoniae. RNAcentral describes it as "partial 16S ribosomal RNA". It matches the Rfam family "Bacterial small subunit ribosomal RNA", at positions 490 to 730 of the family's 1533-position model. Lineage: Bacteria; Pseudomonadati; Pseudomonadota; Gammaproteobacteria; Enterobacterales; Enterobacteriaceae. The record is from RNAcentral.
GCACCGGCUAACUCCGUGCCAGCAGCCGCGGUAAUACGGAGGGUGCAAGCGUUAAUCGGAAUUACUGGGCGUAAAGCGCACGCAGGCGGUCUGUCAAGUCGGAUGUGAAAUCCCCGGGCUCAACCUGGGAACUGCAUUCGAAACUGGCAGGCUAGAGUCUUGUAGAGGGGGGUAGAAUUCCAGGUGUAGCGGUGAAAUGCGUAGAGAUCUGGAGGAAUACCGGUGGCGAAGGCGGCCCCCU